CAUGCAGACUUACACUGUAGAAGGAAGGAAAUCACACAAUUAAAAUAACCACCGGCAGUUUCGAAGUCUCUUUACCGCACUCAUAACAUUUCGGAAUGAGAAAAUGCCUUUCGACCCACGAAGGCUCGUCCCUUCUCCUCACACCUGUUAUAUCUGAGGUUACCCAGAUUAACAUGGAAGGGGGUUUGGGGUCAAAGUGUGCGGCCAUAUAUUCUUCAGAAGCUGUUCUGUUUGGAGCCAGAAAAUAAAUAAAAUGCACAGCUACUGAAACCGGAACUGGUGUUGUGUUUUUUUUUCAAAAUGAUCGCUGCAUCAGUACAGGGUACAAUUCUACGAUGCAUUUCUCGCAACAUUCGCCUACAGGAAAUGAUGUGAGCUUCCACCCUGUGCAGUGCUGCUGUUUUGCAGAGCUGUGAGGACGCAGAAAUACUGAAGUAUUUGUACUUAAACCAGCGUUUGUCAUUUGGAGUGAAAGACUGAGUGGCUUCAUUCCACUGUCAGCGCUGCUAUUGGCUCUCUCCUCAUGACGAUUUGUGUAUAAAAAAGAGAAGUCAAAAAGUGAAGAUUCAGUCCCGCUGUUCUGGACUUGAGAUUCUGCACACGUUUCGUUCUCAUCCCUGAUUCCCACAAACAGGUCUGUGAAGUUCUUAUCCGGUUGGUGAAGAAGGAACAGCGGAGAUGAAUCCCGCAGCGCUCUCCAUUCUUCUUCUGUCUGCCGCGGCAUUGCUGGAGCUUCCACAGAUACAAUGUGACUCCGCUAUACUAAUGGACCUCGCUGAAGAGUCUCUCGAUGAUCAGUACAUCGGCUGUAGAAAUGAGAUGUUAAAAACAGUUCAGGAAACGCAUCUUCCGUCCGAAUUAAACAGAAACACGGAAUUUCAAACCGCAUGGAAAAGGGCUGAAAACGAAAUGGGACAAAGAAUCCAGUCGAAACUGAGUUCCGAGCAAGCCACAGCCAUCUAUGUGUACACCAUAAACGAUGUUUACAAAAAGUUCAAUCGCGCAGUGAGAACAGGAGGAAUGAAUUAUACCGAAUUCCCGUUCAAGGCGUGGCAUUUUCAUUUGACAGACGCCCUGAAGACACUGAAAUCCAUGAAGCCGAAAUGCUAUGAAGUGUUCAGAGGAGUGAAAAACGCCACGCAGGUUAUAGGGAACAUUGUACGAUUCGGACAGUUCACUUCAACCUCUGUAAACAAAACCGUAGCGGAGCGUUUUGGAACAGGAACGCUGUUCACAAUACGAACCUGCCUCGGAGUGUCCAUUAAAAAAUAUUCAGCGUACUCGAAUGAAAAGGAGGUCCUCAUCCCACCUUUUGAGAGAUUUAAAGUGAUGGAAGUCAAUGGGAAAGAAAUCCGACUGGAACAUAUUGAAGACCACACAAGUUAUUUCAACUGUCUGGGAGGGUAUGCUGAUAAACCCCAGAUGAGUCCCGCUGUGAUCGCUGGGAUAGUGAUCGCUGUGGUCCUGGCAGUCCUAUCGAUCACAGUGUAUCUGAAGAGAACGCGCUGUGCUUCAAUGGAAGCAGGACCGGAUGCAGCGUCGCCACCCCCUUCCGAAACCGUCGCACUGAACGAGAGGACCGCGGCUCGGACAGCCUGAGACACCGGCACGAAUAAAACCGACAGCGGACCCCGUGAAAACAACACGCCCGCAGAGCGGCACUGUCCCGGAGAGGAGAGGCGCGCCUUCACCCGGGACUGUAUAAAGAACGACAGGACAGUCAAUCCCGUGGUGCAGCGCGGUGCUCCCUUACAGGCGACAUUUCUGGAGCCCACUCAGCACUGAAUACAUUGCGGGGAUGCUGUGCUGCAGCGCCAGGAUAUAUCAGUAUACUUUUAAUAACAGGAUGAGACGUCAAACAAACGAGCUCCUAUUGGAAGUGACUCUGCAGCAGCCACUGACUCCCUGUGUGUGUGUGACCCUGAGCAAGUCACUGAACCUCCUUGUGCUCCGUCCUUCAGGAUGAGACAUCAAACAAACAAGCUCCUAUUGGAAGUGACUCUGCAGCAGCCACUGACUCCCUGUGUGUGUGUGACCCUGAGCAAGUCACUGAACCUCCUUGUGUUCCGUCCUUCAGGAUGAGACAUCAAACAAACAAGCUCCUAUUGGAAGUGACUCUGCAGCAGCCACUGACUCCCUGUGUGUGUGUGACCCUGAGCAAGUCACUGAACCUCCUUGUGCUCCGUCCUUCAGGAUGAGACGUCAAACAAACGAGCUCCUAUUGGAAGUGACUCUGCAGCAGCCACUGACUCCCUGUGUGUGUGUGUGACCCUGAGCAAGUCACUGAACCUCCUUGUGCUCCGUCCUUCAGGAUGAGACAUCAAACAAACAAGCUCCUAUUGGAAGUGACUCUGCAGCAGCCACUGACUCCCUGUGUGUGUGUGACCCUGAGCAAGUCACUGAACCUCCUUGUGCUCCGUCCUUCAAGAUGAGACGUCAAACAAACGAGCUCCUAUUGGAAGUGACUCUGCAGCACGCACUGGGAUGUGUUGUCCAUUUAGCUAACUGUGGGGCUGUUAUCAAAUGCUUAUUUAUAUUAAACUCCAAUACAAAAUAUAAAUGCCAGUAGACAUAUUUAAAAAAAAAAAAAAAACCGUUGUAGUUCCUAAGAUUUCCGCAAGGGGGCAGUGUGUCGCCAGAAACACGACAGUACGGUAAUUGAGGAAUGAUGAUACGUCAGCUUAUUUUAUUUAUUUAUUUUUUUAAAUUAACAUUAUUUAGCUCAAGUUAUUUCGGAGGGGGGGGGGUCUGUCUGUCCGUGCAUCCGUCUGUCUGUAUUACAAAAUCCAAUUGGGGAGACUGUUCCUAAUAAAGUGGCCAGGCAAGGUUUUUUCGAAGCGAUCUCUCCACAAAGACACAGAAUUCAUUUUGAAUGAUGCUUUAAAAGCAGUUUAUUUCAGUAAAGCAAAGCCGUGGAAACAGCGCGUACAGUGUGAAAAAAUAAUACAAUAUGUUAUAGACUAUUACUUUAAAAAACACAGUGAUCCUGUUAAUAAAGCUAAUAAGAGGUGAGAGAAUGGAUUUUAAAGAUGGUCAGCGCUCCUUUAAAGGGAGGGGCCGGUGAUCAUGUUAAUAAAGCUAAUAAGAGGUGAGAGAAUGGAUUUUAAAGAUGGUCAGCGCUCCUUUAAAGGGAGGGGCCGGUGAUCAUGUUAAUAAAGCUAAUAAGAGGUGAGAGAAUGGAUUUUAAAGAUGGUCAGCGCUCCUUUAAAGGGAGGGGCCGGUGAUCAUGUUAAUAAAGCUAAUAAGAGGUGAGAGAAUGGAUUUUAAAGAUGGUCAGCGCUCCUUCACAGGGAGGGUAUCCAUUCCAGACGUGGAAGCGGGGCUGCGUUGCCGUGGUGACUCGGGGUUGGUCUGGCGCUCACACCGCGGCUCUGUCUUUGAACCCGCAGAUGUAAGCUUUAUUGCCGCUGCAUUUGUCAUCGUUCCACUUGCCGGUGUCUGAGGAGAUGAAAACAGAAACAACA
This is an RNA transcript of Acipenser ruthenus (sterlet), 3464 nucleotides long. It is a transcript of the gene named NAD(P)(+)--arginine ADP-ribosyltransferase 2-like, with no coding region annotated. The transcript is spliced from 7 exons. Lineage: Eukaryota; Metazoa; Chordata; Actinopteri; Acipenseriformes; Acipenseridae. The record is from RefSeq and is a predicted model, not a curated record.